UACGGAGGGGGCAAGCGUUAUUCGGAAUUACUGGGCGUAAAGGGCUCGUAGGCGGCCAACUAAGUCCGACGUGAAAUCCCCAGGCUUAACCUGGGAACUGCGUCGGAUACUGGAUGGCUUGAAUUCGGGAGAGGGAUGCAGAAUUCCAGGUGUAGCGGUGAAAUGCGUAGAUAUCUGGAGGAAUACCGGUGGCGAAGGCGGCAUCCUGGACCGACAUUGACGCUGAGGAGCGAAAGCUAGGGGAGCAAACGGG
Molecule: ribosomal RNA, 253 nt
Filed under: uncultured bacterium
Lineage: Bacteria
Description: partial 16S ribosomal RNA
Rfam family: Bacterial small subunit ribosomal RNA
Source: RNAcentral